UACCCGCAGCGCGAGUGGUGGUCAUUAUUAUUGGGCCUAAAGCGUCCGUAGCCGGUUUGGUAAAUGCCUGGGUAAAUCGAUGCGCUCAACGUAUCGAAUUCCGGGUAGACUGCCAGACUUGAGACCGGGAGAGGUGUGGGGUACUCGGGGGGUAGGGGUAAAAUCCUGUAAUCCUCCGGGGACCACCAGUGGCGAAGGCGCCACACUGGAACGGCUCUGACGGUGAGGGACGAAGCCCUGGGGCGCAAACCGG
RNAcentral lists this ribosomal RNA (253 nucleotides) under uncultured bacterium. Its description in RNAcentral is "partial 16S ribosomal RNA". It matches the Rfam family "Archaeal small subunit ribosomal RNA", at positions 474 to 727 of the family's 1478-position model. The record is from RNAcentral.